Molecule: ribosomal RNA, 468 nt
Filed under: uncultured bacterium
Lineage: Bacteria
Description: partial 16S ribosomal RNA
Rfam family: Bacterial small subunit ribosomal RNA
Source: RNAcentral
GACGAACGCUGGCGGCGUGCUUAACACAUGCAAGUCGAACGGAAAGGCCCUGCUUUUGUGGGGUGCUCGAGUGGCGAACGGGUGAGUAACACGUGAGUAACCUGCCCUUGACUCUGGGAUAACUUCAGGAAACUGGGGCUAAUACCGGAUAGGAGCUCCUGCUGCAUGGUGGGGGUUGGAAAGUUUCGGCGGUUGGGGAUGGACUCGCGGCUUAUCAGCUUGUUGGUGGGGUAGUGGCUUACCAAGGCCUUGACGGGUAGCCGGCCUGAGAGGGUGACCGGCCACAUUGGGACUGAGAUACGGCCCAGACUCCUACGGGAGGCAGCAGUGGGGAAUAUUGCACAAUGGGCGGAAGCCUGAUGCAGCAACGCCGCGUGCGGGAUGACGGCCUUCGGGUUGUAAACCGCUUUCGCCUGUGACGAAGCGUGAGUGACGGUAAUGGGUAAAGAAGCACCGGCUAACUACGUG